RNAcentral lists this long non-coding RNA (1748 nucleotides) under Gallus gallus (chicken). RNAcentral's name for it is "lncRNA (ENSGALG00010022576.1)". Lineage: Eukaryota; Metazoa; Chordata; Aves; Galliformes; Phasianidae. The record is from RNAcentral.
GUCUCUUUUGUGGUGGUCCUUUUGUGUUUGAUGCCUGCCUAAAGCUGUCAUAGAAACUGGAUGUAAUGCUUCCUCAUCAUACGGCAGCCCUCCAACACCUAAAUUAAGAAGUGAAUAGUGCAGGGGUUAAUUAUGAACCUGGAAAAGCUGUGUAGCACUUCUUGGGAAGGCAUCAGCCCGUGAGGGACCUGCGCGGGGUGCAGCAGUGAGAUGCCUCAGCAGGAGCCAGCAAAGUGUUCACCCUGGAUGUUCAACCAGCUUCACGGCUGCUUUGGAAGAGUCACAACCGAGCUGUCUCGGCGUCAGUUCUGAAAGCAGUAAGCACACAAGGUUACUGCCUGGUGUUUCCUUUCAUAGCUGAGACAUACCUCCGGUAUGGCCGUUAAGGAGACUGCCUGCAAGACAACUCCAUCCAGGAAUGACAUGCAGUUCCUUGGUGUGUUUUCCUUGGCUGCAGCCCGUGUCUCUCUUCAUCCCCUGAUUCCAGACAGCAGCACCUCCUGCAGCCACUGCCUUCUACAGAACUUCCAUUCCGCAGAGCUGAGGGAAAGGCUUUGGAGCAUCGCCUGCUGCCUUCACAGAGGCAUUUUAAGAGUUUUUGUUCUGAGCUGUACAGCAAGCAGAAAAGUAAUAUACAUAAUAAAGUAAAGAAAUAUUAUGUACUUGAAUUUUUAAUUAAGUUCUAUUUACGAUGUUGUCGUCCAUUUUGAAACAUUAAGAAUAGCUCUACCUUCAAUGCAGGAAGGAUUUCCCUUAUCUACGUAUUUCACAAUAAAAAAGGAAAAGGAAUGUGGCUAUUUUUACAUUGUAAGUGCCUUUAUGUCAAAUAUAAGCUAGAUUUUAUUUUUUAAUGAAACUUAAUUUAGCCUAGUUAAGAAACCAAUAACCAUAUUUCCUAAUUCAGUUUAUUAAAGUAAUAAACACAGCUAUUCCAGGAAAUGAAAAUAUUUCUGUAUAUGAAAUAGAGUUCUCUGCAGAAGAUAUUCAAGUGUGGAUCUCUGAUGUUUAGCAGUAAAAAUGUAUAUUGGGUAUAAAAUGGGCUUCUCUCUAUCCAUGUGUUCUGGGCGUCAUCCGGUCUGAGGGAUGUCUGUGCAUAAUGCGGAUUCUCAGCACUCCUGAGAACUUGAUUUGUUUGGAUGUUUAAGUUGAAUUUAGAUGUCUAAUUUUAAGCAGCAAGAUAAUCACGUGCUUGUACCUUGUUUCUGAAUAUGAAGAUAGCUUCAGCUGCAUUAAGGAGCCUGAAAUGACAGGGCUGGAAUUGAUAUUUAAUAAUACACCAAGCUAUAAGAAUGCUGAAAUACAACACAGUUAUUAAGAGAUGCCAUUAGUCAAAGGCAGCAGUGUUUGUUUUUUAUUGCUGAGUGCCUGAAGUUUCAAUUUAAAACAAGUGAAAAAUACAAAAACAGAUCCAUUGCCAUCAGACUGAUGUGGGAGUAGCGGGGUUGGUUCUGGGCAGGCUCACAUUGUUUUAUGCUGAAUGUUUUGCUGCUUUUGUCUCUGGAGAAGUGCAGCCAGGUUUUGCCUGCUCUGGGGUCCCGGAGCUGCACUGCAGGAGGGCUCCAUGCUGGCCCAGCAGAUGGGUGCACUGCCUGACACAAGGGGAAGUUCUCCAUUUACUCCACAAAGAUCUUAGGUGAAGGACUGUAAUUGAGCACAACCUUUUUGCACCUAUGAAGAUGCUUGUUUAGAAACAUAGGAAGCUUUAACAACCCUUCUCGUACAUCAAUGCACAAAUAAAGAGAUGAAUC